UACAGAGGGUGCGAGCGUUGUCCGGAAUCACUGGGCGUAAAGGGCGCGUAGGCGGCUUUUCACGCGUGCGGUGAAAGCUCGGGGCUUAACUCCGAGUCUGCCGUGCGAACGGGGAGGCUUGAGUCUGGUAGAGGUCGAUGGAAUUCCGGGUGUAGCGGUGGAAUGCGUAGAGAUCCGGAAGAACACCGGUGGCGAAGGCGGUCGACUGGGCCAGUACUGACGCUGAGGUGCGAAAGCUAGGGGAGCAAACGGG
RNAcentral lists this ribosomal RNA (253 nucleotides) under uncultured bacterium. Its description in RNAcentral is "partial 16S ribosomal RNA". It matches the Rfam family "Bacterial small subunit ribosomal RNA", at positions 524 to 776 of the family's 1533-position model. The record is from RNAcentral.